GCAGUCGAGCGGUAACAGAUCUAGCUUGCUGGAUGCUGACGAGCGGCGGACGGGUGAGUAAUGCAUAGGAAUCUGCCCGAUAGUGGGGGAUAACCUGGGGAAACCCAGGCUAAUACCGCAUACGUCCUACGGGAGAAAGGGGGCUCCGGCUCCCGCUAUGGGAUGAGCCUAUGUCGGAUUAGCUAGUUGGUGAGGUAACGGCUCACCAAGGCGACGAUCCGUAGCUGGUCUGAGAGGAUGAUCAGCCACAUCGGGACUGAGACACGGCCCGAACUCCUACGGGAGGCAGCAGUGGGGAAUAUUGGACAAUGGGGGAAACCCUGAUCCAGCCAUGCCGCGUGUGUGAAGAAGGCCCUCGGGUUGUAAAGCACUUUCAGCGAGGAAGAACGCCUAGCGGUUAAUACCCGCUAGGAAAGACAUCACUCGCAGAAGAAGCACCGGCUAACUCCGUGCCAGCAGCCGCGGUAAUACGGAGGGUGCAAGCGUUAAUCGGAAUUACUGGGCGUAAAGCGCGCGUAGGUGGCUUGAUAAGCCGGUUGUGAAAGCCCCGGGCUCAACCUGGGAACGGCAUCCGGAACUGUCAAGCUAGAGUGCAGGAGAGGAAGGUAGAAUUCCCGGUGUAGCGGUGAAAUGCGGUAGAGAUCGGGAGGAAUACCAGUGG
Molecule: ribosomal RNA, 661 nt
Filed under: Vreelandella aquamarina
Lineage: Bacteria; Pseudomonadati; Pseudomonadota; Gammaproteobacteria; Oceanospirillales; Halomonadaceae
Description: bacterial SSU rRNA
Rfam family: Bacterial small subunit ribosomal RNA
Source: RNAcentral